GAAUAUUGCACAAUGGGGGAAACCCUGAUGCAGCCAUGCCGCGUGUGUGAAGAAGGCCUUCGGGUUGUAAAGCACUUUCAGUGGUGAGGAAGGAUGUAAGACUAAUACUCUUGCAUAUUGACGUUAGCCAACGAAGAAGCACCGGCUAACUCCGUGCCAGCAGCCGCGGUAAUACGGAGGGUGCAAGCGUUGAUCGGAAUUACUGGGCGUAAAGCGUACGUAGGCGGCUUGUUAAGCAAGAUGUGAAAUCCCCGGGCUCAACCUGGGAAUGGCAUUUUGAACUGGCAAGCUCGAGUUCUGAAGAGGGUGGUAGAAUUUCCUGUGUAGCGGUGAAAUGCGUAGAUAUAGGAAGGAAUACCAGUGGCGAAGGCGGCCACCUGGUCAGAAACUGACGCUGAGGUACGAAAGCGUGGGGAGCAAACAGGA
RNAcentral lists this ribosomal RNA (426 nucleotides) under uncultured bacterium. RNAcentral describes it as "bacterial SSU rRNA". It matches the Rfam family "Bacterial small subunit ribosomal RNA", at positions 359 to 777 of the family's 1533-position model. The record is from RNAcentral.